This 500-nucleotide ribosomal RNA is filed under the name uncultured bacterium. RNAcentral describes it as "partial 16S ribosomal RNA". It matches the Rfam family "Bacterial small subunit ribosomal RNA", at positions 30 to 523 of the family's 1533-position model. The record is from RNAcentral.
AUUGAACGCUGGCGGCAUGCCUUACACAUGCAAGUCGAACGGCAGCACGGACUUCGGUCUGGUGGCGAGUGGCGAACGGGUGAGUAAUAUAUCGGAACAUACCUUGUAGUGGGGGAUAACUAUCCGAAAGGAUAGCUAAUACCGCAUACGCUCUAAGGAGGAAAGUGGGGGAUCGCAAGACCUCAUGCUAUAAGAGUGGCCGAUAUCUGAUUAGCUAGUUGGUGAGGUAAAGGCUCACCAAGGCAACGAUCAGUAGCUGGUCUGAGAGGACGACCUGCAUCGCUGGAACUGAGAAAGGGUCCAGACUCCUACGGGAGGCAGCAGUGGGGAAUUUUUGACAAUGGGGGCAACCCUGAUCCAGCAAUGCCGCGUGAGUGACGAAGGCCUUCGGGUUGUAAAGCUCUUUUGUCAGGGAAGAAACGGUUGUGGCUAAUAUCCAUGGCUAAUGACGGUACCUGAAGAAUAAGCACCGGCUAACUACGUGCCAGCCGCCGCCGUAA